RNAcentral lists this long non-coding RNA (1365 nucleotides) under Triticum aestivum (bread wheat). Its description in RNAcentral is "long non-coding RNA (TAES_LNC009050)". Lineage: Eukaryota; Viridiplantae; Streptophyta; Magnoliopsida; Poales; Poaceae. The record is from RNAcentral.
GGUGAUUACAGUCAUAUGCUUCUGACCUUGUAAGAUUUAUGUUGCUUAUUUGUAUUGCUAAAAGUGGACUUCUAUUUACAGGUUCCUACGAAGAGGGUUGACAAAGAAAAUAGUAAUCCAAACUUGCAAAAUAUUCUUUCACAGACAUCUAGUCCUAAUAAGACUCCAGGUUCAAGGCCGACUGCUAUUUCUUCAAAUGCGCUCAUACAAGCUGCAGCAAGGCAAUCUCGAAUGUAUAAAGCAAUGGUAAGUCACAACCUUGCUUUCUCUUCAUGUUCACCUGCAUUUUAUACGUCCUUGGUCUUCAUAAUUAGCUAGCUGCUUCUUCUCUUUUACCAUGUGUUGUUGCUGCAUCGAGUCACAACUUAAACAAAAUACAAAUAUGUGCUAGCUAGGGACAUGAACUUAACUGAAACUAUACAUCUAGUCAUAACUUAAAUCAAUAGCAGGAGCUUUUAGUAGAUGUACGAUCGGACGAUGGUACCAUUCUGUAUGCACGAGCAGGAUGUCAUGAUCAUGCGCGUGAUGCCUUCGCUGAUGAGUCCACUGCAAUGUCACAUGUAGUAUCUCUUCCUGUUGAUAUAGGGGUCGUGAGGGUCGUUUUUUAAACGGACUCGCAACUCCUGAUGGAAGCACUUAAUAUCAAUAAGGUGGACUUGUCGGCCUAUAUGCUGUUAUUGAGGAUACCAAGUACCCGCUCAUAUUAUGGUUUUCUUAUUAUGAAACAAAUGUAUGUCGUCGCUCGGCAAACUUUGUUGCUCAUGAGCUUGCUAGUCUUGAUAGGAUGUUAGAACCUAACUGGAAUGGGGGCCCGAUGUACUAGCCCUUGUGGCUGCUCUGUGUUUUGGGUGAUUCAGCCCAACACCAUUAAGUUAAAAGCAAUGUUUUUUUCUCAAAAAAAUCCCUUUUAGUAGAUGUACUUUAGGUUAUGCCUUAGCCAUUCACACUUGUAUAGUUGUUCUGAUGCCUUAGUUACAUGCUUGCUGACACAGUAUUAGCUAGUUAGUCUGGCAAUAGUUUUUAACAAUGGAGCUGGCAUAAUUGUAUGGCGUAUGUUAUGUUUGACUCAUUAACUAGAACUUUUUUUAUUUCUUGAUUGCAGGAUCCAAAGAACUAGCUGGACUGGACUCUAGAUCACGGGCAGUUUAGUCUUCGAAGUUAAUUAGGAUGGCUAAAUUACAUUUGAGUUUUAUUUGAUGGAUAUUUUCUAUCAGAAGUAUGAAUUGUAUGAAUCUAGAUAUUAUAUGUAUGGUUUUGAAUAUUUUAAUUGAAACCCUGUAAAAAAAAUUUACGAUUGCAAUAGACUAUUACCACAACCCAUUUUUGGUUGCCACAUGCUAGCACCACUAAAAAUAUAGUGUUGCA